Molecule: transfer RNA, 84 nt
Filed under: Paraburkholderia sp. PGU19
Lineage: Bacteria; Pseudomonadati; Pseudomonadota; Betaproteobacteria; Burkholderiales; Burkholderiaceae
Description: tRNA-Asp
Source: RNAcentral
AUUGCGAUUUGCGCGGUCGCUUCGUGCCACUCGUUGUCGGCGAGCGCGGCUUCCGCGUGCGCCGCGCGCUUCGGCGUCGCGGCC